RNAcentral lists this ribosomal RNA (203 nucleotides) under Gesnouinia filamentosa. Its description in RNAcentral is "partial 18S ribosomal RNA". Lineage: Eukaryota; Viridiplantae; Streptophyta; Magnoliopsida; Rosales; Urticaceae. The record is from RNAcentral.
AUUCCUUGGCACAGACCGCGCCGUUGUUUGGGUGAGGUUCCAGAGGCGCUUGAAGAUCCAAGCGCCACCGGCCGGGGGCGAUUAAAUAAGUCUCGAGAGACCAUUCUUUCAAUCCCCCGGUGGUUAUAAAACAUGUCCACUGGUUGGUUUGUUAAGGUUUCGACAAUGAUCCUUCCGGUAGGUGACCUGCGGAAGGAUCAUUG